UAAGCGAGAUGUGAAAUCCCAAGGCUCAACCUUGGAACUGCAUUUCGAACUAGCAGACUUGAGAAUGUGAGAGGAAACUGGAAUUCCAGGUGUAGGAGUGAAAUCCGUAGAUAUCUGGAGGAACACCGAUGGCGAAGGCAGGUUUCUGGCACUAUUUCUGACGCUGAGGCACGAAAGCGGUGGGAGCGAACGGGAUUAGAUACCCCGGUAGUCCACGCCGUAAACGAUGGAUGCUA
This 236-nucleotide ribosomal RNA is filed under the name uncultured Candidatus Saccharibacteria bacterium. RNAcentral's name for it is "partial 16S ribosomal RNA". It matches the Rfam family "Bacterial small subunit ribosomal RNA", at positions 584 to 818 of the family's 1533-position model. The record is from RNAcentral. Lineage: Bacteria; Candidatus Saccharimonadota.